AGGUUAAGUUAGAAAGGGCGCACGGUGGAUGCCUUGGCACUAGGAGCCGAUGAAGGACGGUACUAACACCGAUAUGCUUCGGGGAGCUGUAAGUAAGCUUUGAUCCGGAGAUUUCCGAAUGGGGAAACCCUCCAUCCGUAAUGGGAUGGAACCCUUGCCUGAAUACAUAGGGCAUUGGAGGCAGACCCGGGGAACUGAAACAUCUAAGUACCCGGAGGAAGAGAAAGCAAACGCGAUUCCCUGAGUAGCGGCGAGCGAAACGGGAUUAGCCCAAACCAGGAGGCUUGCCUCCUGGGGUUGUAGGACACUCUACACGGAGUUACAAAGGAACGGAGUAAAUGAACAGGCAUGGAAAGGCCGGCCAUAGAGGGUAACAGCCCCGUAGUUGAAACUUCGUUCCCUCCAGAGUGGAUCCUGAGUACGGCGGGACACGUGAAAUCCCGUCGGAAGCAGGGAGGACCAUCUCCCAAGGCUAAAUACUCCCUAGUGACCGAUAGUGAACCAGUACCGUGAGGGAAAGGUGAAAAGCACCCCGGAAGGGGAGUGAAACAGAUCCUGAAACCGUGUGCCUACAAGUAGUCAAAGCCCUAUGACCUUCGGGUCAGGGUAAUGGCGUGCCUUUUGUAGAAUGAACCGGCGAGUUACGAUUACAUGCGAGGUUAAGUUGAACAGACGGAGCCGCAGCGAAAGCGAGUCUGAAUAGGGCGAAUGAGUAUGUGGUCGUAGACCCGAAACCAGGUGAUCUACCCAUGUCCAGGGUGAAGUCCAGGUAACACUGGAUGGAGGCCCGAACCCACGCACGUUGAAAAGUGCGGGGAUGAGGUGUGGGUAGCGGAGAAAUUCCAAUCGAACUUGGAGAUAGCUGGUUCUCUCCGAAAUAGCUUUAGGGCUAGCCUCAUGUUGUAAGAGUCUUGGAGGUAGAGCACUGUUUGGACUAGGGGCCCCCAUCGGGUUACCGAAUUCAGACAAACUCC
This 974-nucleotide ribosomal RNA is filed under the name Bacillus sp. NRRL B-14911. RNAcentral describes it as "bacterial LSU rRNA". It matches the Rfam family "Bacterial large subunit ribosomal RNA", at positions 1 to 957 of the family's 2925-position model. Lineage: Bacteria; Bacillati; Bacillota; Bacilli; Caryophanales; Bacillaceae. The record is from RNAcentral.